CCCCCCCUCUGUGUAUUGAAUACCUUAUAAGUAAAUCUAAUAAACUAUUAUUUACAAUGCUGUCUGAUUUGUAACAAAAAAAUAUAAAAGUUAAAACUUUCAACAACGGAUCUCUUGGUUCUCGCAUCGAUGAAGAACGCAGCGAAAUGCGAUAAGUAGUGUGAAUUGCAGAAUUCAGUGAAUCAUCGAAUCUUUGAAUGCACAUUGCGCCUUCUAGUAUUCUGGGAGGCAUGCCUGUUUGAGCGUCAUAAAAACAUUCUCAAGUAUUUUACUUGGACAUGAAGGAAGAGCAUCUUUUUAAGAGAGAGGUUCUCCUUUGAAAUUGAUUAGCAGAUGGUAUAAAAUCCUAAUGUUAUAAAGAUAUUAAACACAUCUUUUGAAUUGGGAUUUUAUAAAAAAAAUAUCAUCUAAGCUUCAAAUCUAUUUAUUGGCAUAUAUAUAAUGUGUGACAGUAAUUCUUUUUUAUAGUUGACCUCAAAUCAGG
Molecule: ribosomal RNA, 484 nt
Filed under: Trichophaea woolhopeia
Lineage: Eukaryota; Fungi; Ascomycota; Pezizomycetes; Pezizales; Pyronemataceae
Description: eukaryotic LSU rRNA
Rfam family: 5.8S ribosomal RNA (bases 95-248)
Source: RNAcentral